Long non-coding RNA from Drosophila teissieri, 524 nucleotides. RefSeq lists it as uncharacterized. The transcript is spliced from 3 exons. The record is from RefSeq and is a predicted model, not a curated record. NCBI's taxonomy places the organism in Eukaryota, Metazoa, Arthropoda, Insecta, Diptera, Drosophilidae.
GUCAACAUUCCAUUUCUGCAAGGCUUUUUUUCGAAAUGUGUUAAUUUUGCCCUAUAAAUACGUCUACCAAGAGAGCCCUUUAAUUAGGAAACCAAAAACGAAUGGAAAUACUACACACCCAUCUCAACCAGCUAUUCAAUUUUCAUGAAAGGUCAUAUAUCAGUAUACCUACAACUUACAUUUCAAUGUGUUAUACACAGCCAAACAGUAAAUUUGAAAAUUUUAAAUUUAUUAAAGUGACGGAAGAAUAUAUCUCGCUGGCGGAUUAAUCAUCAUUAUCAUUUAAAGAUGACGGGCCCUCAAACAAUUGUACUCUAUGGCUUGAUUGGCAUUCUGGUCCUCGUUAUUGUGAUUAUAUCUAUGGUUUUAAUCGUUGGAUUAUAUAUUCACGAUCCAAAUCGUACAAAUGCGACGACGACUGAAGAAACCUGGAAAUCCACUUAAUGGAGGCAGAGAAAGUCUAUUGUUUGCAUUUGUACAAUACUUGGCAUAACUAAUAAAAUUUGGUUAAAUUGUUAUUAAAA